RNAcentral lists this long non-coding RNA (25351 nucleotides) under Cucumis sativus (cucumber). RNAcentral's name for it is "long non-coding RNA (CSAT_LNC001661)". Lineage: Eukaryota; Viridiplantae; Streptophyta; Magnoliopsida; Cucurbitales; Cucurbitaceae. The record is from RNAcentral.
UUGGUUCGAUUGUCGUUGGAGCAUGGAUGCAUCUGAUUUCAAACAAGAUAUUUGGUACAAUGCAAGCGUUGAAGUAAUGUUGACAAGCAACGCCUCUGGAUGGAAUGUUCCACUACACCUUGAAAUCGAGUUGCCAGAUGGGAGUAAGCAAGAGUCUCAAAUAGUAUUGGCAGGUAGACAACCAAAUGUGUGGUUAAAGAUUCCAAUAGGUAAAUUCAUACUAAGGGGUUCUCUGACUAGCGGAACAAUCCGAUUCGGCUUGUACAACCAUGAAGGGAAUUGGAAAAGAGGCUUGAACAUAAGAGCCCUUGCCAUUCAAGCAUAAAAAUGAGUUUGAAAUGGUAUGUUCAAUAAUGAAUAUAAAGUAAUAGAAUAAAACCCUAAAUAAUAAGAUCUUUUGCUCUGUGACAAAAACUUUUAAGUUUAAAUGUGUUAUAUUUCAGUUAUGCAAGUAACUGUUGAAUAUAAUGUAACACAACAUAAAUAAAUAAAUAAUAUGACAUGUUGCAUAGUAGUAAUAAGGCCAGUUUAAACACUUUAGUAAGUUUUUCAAUAAAAGUAUGUACUGUGAGUUUGUUCAAAUUAAAUCUAAGCACUCAUUUUGUGAUUGCUGAUCAUUUUGUACAUACAUUUUGAAAAUUAAAAAGAUAAAAUGAAAACAAGUUAACACAAUCAUAAUUUUGAUAUUAUUAAUUUGUUAAUUAAAUUAGGAAUUAAAUGAACUAAAAGUAACAUGAGAAGACAAAAUUAACACUUGUGUAAAUGAUGUUGCAAGAGUUACUUUUACGUUGUGAUGGAUUAGUUUUACCACCUACUGAUUUUCAAUUAAAUAGUCACAAGACCUAUUUUAGGGUUCUCGUUUAAUCAAGUAUAAUAUGUAAUAUGUUGAUGUAAACCACAACUUCUUGAUAGUAAGAGUAGCGAAGUCCGAUUUAACCACACAAGAAGCUUCGUGUUUAAUAAUACUCUAAGGUAAAUUUUUCUAAGGAAAAGAGUAUAUAGUGGGAGAGUGGUUUAUAGGUAAAGUAAAUGACAUAAAUAAAGUGUGGGAAUGUAAGAUAAUAGUGAGAAAUAAUAGGGUUACCUAUAGAUUACCUUUCAAUUGAAAGAUUCUUGAGAUAGAUCAUACAGAUUGAUUCGUCAAUUUAUUAUAUAAGAAUAGGGUUAUAUAAUCUAAGUACAACAAUAGCAAAAACAAUCUAGAAACAUCGGACAAACUCUCUUAUCGUAAUGAAUCAAUCAUAGACAACAAAAUCAAUUUUAAACUAAUCAACACUACUACAAAAAAGGGUUUACUUGACACUUUUCAAUGGGUUUAAUAAUCCAGUUUUAAGUAUAAGGGAGGUUCAGACAAUUUUUAAGCGUCAAGUACAAUUAUACUUGACAGGUGAAAAACAUCAAGUAUAUUACUUGACGCUUUCUACUUGUCAAGUUAUCCAGUGUCAAGAAUAAAUGGGUUUUUUGUUUGAAAGUUUUUAUGCGUCAAGUAAAAUUGUACUUUACAGUUUAUGAAGGUCAAGUAUACAAGAUUAGUUGACAGUUUCUAUAUGUCAAGGAUUUGAUUACUCUUGACACUCUUUGCAUGUCAAGGUUUUUUUUUUUCAAAUGAAAAAUUAUAUAUUUUAAAAUUAUAAGAUAAUGCUUUUUACCAAAAAUUAUAUAUUUUAAAGUAUCGACAUAUAUAAUUUAUCAUGCACCUAUUUUGAAGUUCAACAAUGACGAACAUAAGUAAAGCAAGAGAGUACUGAAAUGUGUUAAAUUACACAUUAAUUGAACAAUUGAAUCAACUCAAAUUUUCCAUCAAAUAAGUAAUAGUAUCUUAACAAGUUGCAUAUAUAUAUGUGUGUGUGUAUAUAUAUAUAUAUCAAUGAACCAUACAUGUAGUUAGUCCAAAUUUAUAACAAAAGCCUAAACUUUCUAUCCAUGUGUAGCUUAUAGGUAUAGCCUAAACUUUCCAUCUAUGUAUAUAUAGCCUAAACUUUCCACCUAUGUAUAGCCUAAAGGGUACCAUACCAAAACUUGUCGUUCUAGUAUCAACAAAAUAUCAACACUAAUUCACCUAUAUCCAAUAUGAACAAAAUAUCACACUUAUAUUCAGUAUGAACAAAAUAUCAACAAAAUCUGUUUAUCUAACCAAAAAUAUAAUCACCAUAAUCAAAUGUGGCCACCCAAAAAAAUUAGCAAGCUUCAUUCGCACUUCAUCCAACUCGAAUUGACUAUAUGAGCUCCUUAUAUCAAUCUGAUAUGAAACCUAAAAUUUUGAAGUUAGUACUUUGAUUACUUAAAUUGUAUAAAAUAAUUCAAACAAUCAUUUAAACACAACAUACCGAAUCUAUGACUACUAUGUUUCCAUUAGUGAUUAUAUCUCUCAUGUAUCUCAUCAUAUAGUACCCGCAUUCAAAUAUUUCAACUUGCAAAGGACACUGUAUAUAUAUAAAUUACCAAAAUACUUCAUAGUGCAAAUACCCCAUAUAACGUAUACUUUUAAUUAACGAAUAAAUAUGUUUACACUUACCUUCCCUAUAUUUUCCAUAUUGGUUGUUUUCGACUUGUUUGAAUAUUUUUCUGAGAUUGAAAGAUAGUAAUAGUCCUAUUUCCAAGAAACAACUACACGUUACCCACAAAGUGAACUUUAAAACGAAAAACAUCAUACAUGAAAGAAGCUUAUUUAUGUGUCAAUUACAUAUCUAAUAUCUACUCUUGAUGUUGUUCAAAGUGAGUCAAUAUGGUAGACUUCAUCGUAUGCGUUAAUAGCCAGAAGUGUCAUUUCCCACUACAUAGAAAUAAUACAAGUAGAUUGUUUUCACUGUCAGUGCAAUACAUUUUAAUGACAAUAAGCAUUAAUUAUAGUCUACAAAUCAGUUUUUCUACGCUAAAUCAAAAGUAGACGACAACAAUAAAAGUUGAACCUCCCCCUCCCCCCACCCCCCAUGAUUGCCUUAACAUAAUCCAAAGCCCUAAGCUUGAUCAAUUCAAAGAAGCAAAUCACACAAUAUGAUCAAAAGCUAAAUGGAGAGCACAUAAAAGUAUGAGUUAUGUGUUUCAAUAUCAAUGGAAGAAGAAGCAAUAUAUUUUAAUGAAUCAAUUAGUAUAAUAUUACUUACUCUAGAUUAAAAGGAGCCCGAACGAUACAAAGAACUUACUCAUGUUGACAUCUUUGAAUCUACAAUCCACCGAAUUUGGGGACACCACCCGUCAGAGACCUUCCUAUCCUAUGGGACGAGAUUGAUUUGUGGGAACUAAUUGAGAUGGAAAAAGUUUUAGAGAGAAACUAUUUUGCAGAAAAAGAAAAUCAUUAGUUUAAUUGAUUGGUUAAGAAAAACUGUUUUUCUUUGCAUAUUUAUAAAUCUUUUUUCUUUGUGGAGUAGGAGAGAACCAUGAGACUCUGUUAAUUUUAAAAUAUGAGAAUUAUGAGAUUCUGUUAAUUUUAAAAUAUUAAAUUAAUAGAAAUUUCAAAUCAUCUAAUUAAUUAACAAUUAAAUCAUAUUUCAUUUAAAUCUUAUUUAAUGAAUAUAUCUAUGAUAUCUUAUUAAUUUAAUUAAAUAAAACUAAACUAUUGAUUAAUUUUCUGAUUAAUUAAUAGUUAAAUUAAAUAUCUUAUAUUUAACUUAAAUUAAAUUUGAAUCAUAUUCAAAUAUAAAUUUCUCUCGUAACCAAUAAUUUUAAUAGGAAUUCAAUUGACAUUAAAUUAAUAUUUGAACUCAUUCAAAUAUUUUAUCUCUCAUAAAUUAAUUUUGAAUCAGUACGAAGAAGGUUGAACUCGAACGGAGAGAAGAGAUUGCGAGGUGGUGACAGUUAGCUUGGAUAUGGGGAGAGAAGAUGAAAAAAAAAAAAAGAUGUGGAAUGGCAUGCGUGGGUUUAUUUUUUUAAAUAUAAUGAUGAUGAUAAUAAUAAUAGAAUCUAUUACUAUUAUUAUUACUACAUAAACAAUAACUAUUAUUAUUUUACGUGUAUUUAUCAAGUUUCUAUUUCUUUCUUUUCCACAACUUCUAUCAAAACAACACCCAACAAUUUAAAAUCUUUAAAUAAAAUGGCAAUUUGUUUAAAAUAAAAUACCUCAAAGUCAAGGAUAUUACAUUUAAAAAUUGAGCACCCUUAUCUGGAUGACAUGAGUUUCAAAAAGAAUAUAAACUCCAAAUCAAUAAACUCUUUGAUAUGGAUGGUUCAUACUCAGUAGUAACUUCUUUUUAAUUUCUACAGAUUUUAUCCCUAACCUAUACUCCAAAUAUAUUCUCGAUAAAUUAAAGAGAAUAGAUUCUCAUGAAUUUUAAUGCUUUCAUGCUUUGAUAUUGAAAAUUAAAUAAUAUAACGAAAAAGUGAGUGAGAAAAAUGGAAAAGGAGAUGAAAAGAACGGGUUAUUGACUUUUCAAAAAUAAUAUUUAUUAGAGUCAUAUAGAAAUUAAACCACGUUAGAUUGUACUUUGGAAGGCUAUUAAUAAACCUAUCAAUUAUAAAUAAUAAUAACAUUAAUAUAUAUAAGAAUUAGGAAAAUUGUAAAAAAAAAAAAAGUAAAUUUGACAAAAUAUUUACAACAUAUAACCAAAUUUUGAGAUUCUAUCAAUAACAGAUAUUGAUAGCCACUGAUAUGCUUCUAUCAAAGACAUUGAUAGACGGUGAUAGAAAUCUACCCGUUUCUAUCAUUACUAGAAUAAUUUUUUUUUUGUUAUAACUUGUAAUUAUUUUAAUUUAUUUUGUUAUUUUAAAAAAUGCUUCUAAAUAUUAUUUAUUUAUUCGAUGAUACAAAUGCCCAUAAACUUUACAUAAUUACACUCUUAUAAAAAUGGUCUUUUAACAAAUAAUUUUUAUAUCCAUAUAUGUAUAAUUUAGAGACAUUUUUAAAAAUAGCAAAAUAAAUUAAUAUAUUUACAAGCUAUAACAAAAUUUUAGAUUUUAUCAAUGAUAGUCUUCUAUCACUAUAACAUAUCAAUGACUAUCGGUGAUAGAAUUUAUUAGAGAUCGUAAAUAUUUUAUAAAUUUUGCUACUUUUAAAAAUAUUCCAACAAUUUAAUUAAUUACAGGGAAGAUAAGAACAAUUUUAGUUGAAUAAUCAAUUAUCAAGAAGAAAAUAUAAAAGUUAACUAACUUAUAUUAAAAAAUAAUUUAAAGUAACUAAAUGAAAAAGAGUAUAUAAAAAUAAAAGAUGUUGAAAAAAUGGAAUAAACAAAAGAGAGAAAGGAUAAGGGAUAGGAAAAAGUGGUUGCAUUUGGAAAGGUCUAAAAUACCCUCAUAGAUGGAUAUAAAAGAACAAAGAUAUCCUCCAUACUUGAAACCAAUCAAGGACCUUUAUACAACAUUUUCUCAUUCUCAUCCUUACUUUUAUAUCUCUCAAAUACCAUUUUAAUGGCAGGCCAAAGCACACAUUAUUUGGCAUUUCCAAGAGCUUCCACAAUAACAUGGGGUGAUGACACUCGAUAUUGGAGUUGGGCCACCGUGGAUUUUUGCAGGUAUAAUCUUCAACUCAAAUUUUAUUUGUUCAUUUAUUCAUAUCUCAUACAUUUUCAUCCAUUUCUUUUGUCUUCAUUCAUAAAAAUAUAAACUAGUUAUUAGAUUCUACUUUCAUGAAUAUAGGUUAUGUUCCAAUUAUAUGUUAUUUAUUAUUGUUCUCUCUCACCAUGGUAUUUAAAACCUUGCAGCUACGCAAUUGAAGAAGCCCGACUUUUACAAGUAUCUUGGCUCGAUUGUCGUUGGAGCAUGGAUGCAUCUGAUUUCAAACAAGAUAUUUGGUACAAUGCAAGCGUUGAAGUAAUGUUGACAAGCAACGCCUCUGGAUGGAAUGUUCCACUACACCUUGAAAUCGAGUUGCCAGAUGGGAGUAAGCAAGAGUCUCAAAUAGUAUUGGCAGGCAGACAACCAAAUGUGUGGUUCAAGAUUCCAAUCGGUAAAUUCAUACUAGGGGGUUCUCUGACUAGCGGAACAAUCCGAUUCGGCUUCUACAACCAUGAAGGGAAUUGGAAAAGAGGCUUGAACAUAAGAGCCCUUGCCAUUCAAGCAUAAAAAUGAGUUUGAAAUGAUAUGUUCAAGAAUGAAUAUAAAUUAAUAUAAUAAAACCCUAAAUAAUAAGACAUUUUGCUAUGUUACAAAAACUUUUAAGUUUAAAUGUGUUAUAUUUCAGUUAUGCAAGUAAAUGUUGAAUAUAAUGUAACACAACAUAAAUAAAUAAAUAAUAUGACCUGUUGCAUAGUAGCAAUAUAAAAUGAAAACAAGUUAAAACAAUCAUAAUUUUGAUCUUAUUAAUUUGUUAAUUAAAGGAAAUGAAUGAAGAAAGAGUAACAUGAGAAGUCAAAAUUAACACUUUUGUAAAUGAUGUUGCAAGAGUUGCUUUUAUGUUGUGAUGGAUUGGUUUUUCCACCUACUGUUUUCAAUUAUAUUGUGACAAGAACUUUUUUAGGGCCCCUUAGUAAUCAAGUACAAUCGGGAAUAUGUUGAUGUAAACCACCACUUCUUCUUGAUAGUAUGAGUAGCGAGGUUAGAUUUAACCACAUAAGAAGCUUCCUGUUUAAUAUUGCCUGAGGUAAAUUUUUCUAAGGAAUAAAGUAUAUUGUAAAGCUAAGAAACUUGGAUCUUCGCAAGAGCUUGAAAGGAUUAUUUUUAAGUGAAGUAAGACAAGGAAGUGGACUUGAGAAUUGUCAUGGUCCGUAGAAAGAAGGCUAAGUAGUUGUGGUUCAAAAGUUAAGGAGGUUAGUUUGAAAAAGAGGAAAAUUUUGGGUAAGUCCAUGUCUAGGCGUUUUAGACUUGGUGGGUUGCCAAAAGAGAAGGAAAUAACCUCUAAAGAAGUUAUCUUGGCGUUUUGAUUGUGGACUAGGUGCGACAGAUGUCAAAAAAGGUUAUUUGGACAACUUGUGGUAAGCUAGGCGGCAAUCAUGUGUGUGUAGUGUUUGUCCAUGAAGGUUAAAAUAACCUCCAUGUGUGCUGGGUGAGAUGGCAUUGGCUAAGCAAAAAGAGUGUCUUUAGAGGUUAGUUGGGCGUUAAGCCUUGACGAAGAGGCUUGCAUAGAGGUUAGGUUGACGAUGAAAGGCUAGGCAAGGAAAGCAUGACCAUGCCAAGUGGGGUUAGCAAGGUGUUUUGGGUUGAGUAUGACACUUUGGCAUUUCGGUUAGGCGAGAUGAGGAAGAGGUGGAGUCGGUUAAGUUGAUUCCAUGUGUCAUGUGAAUGCAUAAGUUAAAUUUUGGCUACUAGAAGGUGUCAAUAAAUGUUCAUGCACGGCUAGGUCACUUCAAAAUUCAUUUUCUACCAAAGCACUCAAAAUUUAAAAAAUUGAGUCUAUUUUCUAAGUAGGGGCUGCCAGACGAAUUUGAGAGAGGGAAGUGAUGGGACAAAUAUUGACCUGUUCAAAUAUAGUCUAUUCUCAAUCCUUAUCAUGUAUAUUUUCACUAUUUUUAUAUUUUAUACAGAAUAUGAAAGUAGACUUCAAUACGAAUCUAAUGACACAAAAAUCACCUAAAUUGGAGUUCAAACAAAGGAGAACGGGCAAAUUAAACAUACGGGGCAUUUCCGUAAAUAUUGAAGAGAUUGACACGUGUCAACCCCUCAGCCGCUCACGCCUAGCCUCAAGAUCACGGAAUCGAAUCUCGCUUCACUCAUAAUAUUCACUACAUAUUUCCUUCAAUCCAUGCCUUCAACAAUCCGACGAUUCUCUUUGGCCACGUGGCGUGAUCUCAGCGCGCGCGUCCCUCAGCCAUGCGGGUUCGAAAAAUUAAUAUCAAAACUUCCGAAAUUACUCCAAUUUUCAUAUUUUCUUCUUCUUGGAUAUGGGCUUAGAAAUACACUUUGGCCCAUUUCCUCUAAUUCUCCCUAUAAAUACCCCGAAUAAUUCCUAAUUUCAUAUUCAAUUUCAAUACAAUUCACUAUUCCCUCCAAAAAAUACUCUUAAUUUCUCCCAAAUUCCAAUGUCUCUACCCUAACUCUAUAAUUUUUUUAUCUUCAACCAUUUUUUCGGAAAUAUCGAAGAUGGAAGGCUUGGGCUUAGACAUUUUCAAUCCUUAGAGAAUUUGAUUAAUUAGAUUUUUUUUUUAUAAUUAGGGUUUGAUUAGUCUUUGAUUUCCAUGUAAUUUUUGUUAGAAUCAUCGAUGUUUAAUUCCAUUUUAUUGAAUUUUGUAAUCUUGAUUCUUGAUUUUAUGAUUUUUUUGGUUCAAUAUUGUAAGCAAUUUACCCCUAGUAUUUCAAUUAGUGCAAGAUUAGUUGAUUUGCUUGCUUAUAUACAAAAUUUACAUAAUUUUUCAUUUUAUCUCUCCCAAUUUUAGAAUUGUGUAAUGCCUCUUUUGGAUUUCAAUUGUUUUUGGAUAAUUCUUGGAAUUAAAUUGCAUUUUUUUGUGCACAAAUUAAUUUCUCUUUGAUUCCUUGAAUAUAAAGUUGUUGUUGAUCCAUCUUGUGUUUUCUUUUAAAGAAAAGAAUAAUGCGUUUAGUUAGAAUUGCAAUGAUCAAACUAAACCCUUUGAAAUUCUUUAGUUGGUUCUGAAUUUUGAUUCAAGAAUUCCUUUCAAUAUCAAGCAAUUUGAUCUUGGAAAGAAAUCUUGAAUCAAAUUCUCUUUUAAAGCUAUGCAUAAUUCAAUUUUCUUAGCUUCUUUGAUUCAAUGAUAAGAUUUGAUGUAAGUGUAAGCCUAUGUCUCACUUACCACCUUGGUAUUCAAUAUCUAUUAUCUCCCUCUUUUCUGAGUUGUUUUCCAUACUAAACUCCCCUUCUCAUUCCCUGCUACAAUUUUCCCCCAAUUUGUUUUCAAUACUUUUAUCUUCCUUUCGUUACUAAUCUUCAUAUUUCCAAGCAUUUCAUUCAAGGAAAAAUUGAUCACUCCUUUGGGUUCGACACUCUUGCUUGCUUCUAUCUACGGUAAAAUCAAGGGUAAACUAUAAAUAAAUUUUCAUCAAGGCGUUUAACUAAGUACCCUUAGUUGAUAACGACCUUACAUACUCUUUGCAUAAUGUUUUUUCUUCUUGAUGUCAAUUCUCGCCUUGUCAAUAAAUGUUCAUGCACGGCUUAAUAUAAAUAGGUCACUUCAGAAUUCAUUUUCUACCAAAGAAGUUUAAAAAUUGAGUCUAUUUUCUAAGUAGGGGCUGCCAGAAGAAUUUGAGAGAGGGAAGAUUGAGUUUAUGUUCAUAGAAUAGAAAGGUCAUUGUCGAAAGGAUUCUAAGCAAUAUUCACUUCAAGGAGGCUACAUAACUCAUUACAAGAAGUUUUGGGCUGAACUUUUGAGAUGAGAAUGUUAACACAAUUUGCAACAAUUGUGUCGAAGAAGGUAUUUUCAUUUGAGUUCUAGAUUGUAAGCUAUUAAACUCUAAAGUAUAAGUAAGGUUCUGGUAGAAAAUGAGUUUAUGGACGAUGGAGGUUGUUGGCCGAGUGUCAGGGGUUGCUAGGCGAGAUGGGUAUGGAUAUUAGGUUAAAAAAGUUUUGAGAUUUUUAUGAUUAAAUGGAAUUAAGUGAAAUUAUUUUCUGUUAUUUCAAGUCAGGAAAAGAUCGGGUAGAUUUACAGAUCGAGGGUCUAAACUACUGUCCGUGAGUGACAAAAUGAGUUUAAAGUUUAUUUUCGAACAUGAUUUAUUAUAAAAUGUACAUUUUAAUCAUACUUUGAUAUAAGAUUUAUGAAUACUUUGAUAUAUGAAUACUUGAGUUUACUGAUUAAGCAAAACUUUUCAAAGCAUGAGUUUUGAAAUAUUUAACAAGCAUGUAUUUCUUGAUGAAUUUACUCAUGAGAUUUACAAAGCAAGUUUGUUUAUGAUAAGUAUUUAAGUUAAAGAAUGAUUUUUAGAAUGUUUUAGACUAUACCGACCGAUAUAGAUAACAACCUUUUGGGAGAUAUUACCUGUGCACAGAGGUGAUGGAAACAGUAGACAUGCACAGCGGAAUUACGAUCAAAUUUUUACUCUAAUUGCAACUAAACAAGUUUAGUGAUUAAUAUGCAUAAAAAACCCUAAAAUAACGUAGAUAGGGUUAAAAGAAAAACUUACCUUUGAAGUUUUUCUUCUCUUGUAUUGUCUUCACGAAUUUGAAGUCAGCAUAACCACUAGAGUUUACUCGCUAUUCUCCGGACUUGAAACCGAGUUGUGAGACUAAAAAAUGGUGGAGAAAAUAGAGAGAUGAUAUCCUUUUAAGGAACCUAACAUUUUGGUUUUUUUUUUUUUAUGUUAAAAAACUCGAAUGGAAAGAGUUCUUGGAUUUAUUUUGUAAUUCUCAAUUACAAAAUUAAUUUUCAAUCUUCAAAUUCAAGAGUCAUUUCACCUUUGCAUAAAGUUUGUUUACAAGCAAACUACAUGCAAAAGGAACUAUCUCACUACUUGAUAUUCUUAGUGGGGUAGGUGUCUUGCAUGCAAUAAGCCACUUGCAUAUCACAAGCAAGUGAUAAGCUAGCCAAAUCUCAACAAAUGUUAUUAUUUAAAUUAGUCUAAGGGUAAUAUGGUAAUUCAACAUUUAAAUCAAAUUCAAAGUUUGACUUUUUCAAAUUUAAAGUCAACAUUUUGACUUUUUGUAGUCUAAAGUCAACAUUUUGACUUUUAACCAUUUGUCCGUCUUGACUAAUUUCAACCUCCCAAGCAUGAAUCCGUAUUUAUUUCUCCAAAAUUCAAAUCACAUUUGAAUAUAAAGUCGAAGUUUAAUUUUCAAAGUCAAAAGUCAACAUUCUGACUGUUUACAUCUUUGACCUUUUUCAUCAAUUCCGAGUUUCCAAAUAUGAAUCCAUAUUUAUAUAAGUAACAUUUAAACAUGAAGCUCUAUCUUAAGUAUAACCGAUGACUAUAUCAGAUAUAUUUGUCAGUUUCUUUCUCUUUACCUAAUUCGAACAAUUCGAAUUAUUCCAUCAUAAUGUUCUAAGUUGAUUCCUUGUGAGCUAGUCGGGGAACCUAAUGGACCUAUAGAUCAUGAACUCCAACGAUAUGAGAUUAACUGGCUAAACUCUUUAGACGAGUUAAUCAACAUUCGUUAACUACGGGUCAUUCCACUAAAGUCUCGUCAUUGCACACCCCUCACUAUAGAUAUAUUUGUGUCCAUGUGAUAUGACCAUGAUAAGUACGUUAAUCCUUCAUAGGUUGUUCAUAAUCUCGACUGGGUCAAAGUACCGUUUUACCCUCGAGAUUAUAUCUUUUCUCCUUAAGUCCCACUGAUCCACUAUUGAACAAUUGAUUUUAGGUCCAACCUAUAAAUCGAAUCCCUCUCGAGCCAAUGAGAGGGUGGGGCCCCUUAUUCAAGACUUGGAAUCAAUUCUUAAGGGAACAACCUAUCUACUAACCCUAAAACGAGUAGAAGUGAAUUUCAUCUUGCACCCUAUGUCCCUAGCUGUCCAGUCGGUCUUACCCCUAAAAUGGGAGGCUUAUUGCACCAGCGCCAUUGAGUUGUCAUCAUCUAUGCAGAUCUAAGGAUAAUUCCAUGUGAACAGAAGUUCAUAGAUAGCUCAUGAUUAAGAUUAAGUUUCAUUGGAUAUCUAUAAACGAAAUAGUUAGUUUUACAAAGCUAACGGUGUUCUAACUUAAAAGUGACUAUUUCAUGGUUAUAGUCUUAUGUAAACUUUUUACAUAGGAUGCCCCCACUUUCAUGUCUCUACAUGAACGAUUCGAAAUCACAUCAUUUGUACUAACUACAAAGCAGACCACAUCCAUAGUGUCCCUAGAAUAAGGUGUCCAACCGUAUUCGUAUACUAUAGACUAUUUAGGCUAUAUACUCGAACUUGAUCCACGUUUAUGUCUCUAUAUAAAGUUCAAGUUUACUAUAUAUAAUAGCCUCGGGUCUUUAGUUUAUUGGCUUUAAGAUUAGAGUAUCAAUAACAAUUUUAUUGAAUAGAAUAUGAUUCGAAACUACGAGUUUUAUGACAUAAAUUCCAACAAAAGGUUCCUUUGAUGAAGGUAUUCAGUAGAUACCUAGAUUCCUAUCACUUAGACAGAUUAAUGAAGAUCUGUUGGUUACCUACAUUAUUGUAGUUAUAACGAGUUGGGGCAAUACUGAUUAAUUGAUUGUUUAGACUUAAUACUUUCGUGUGUGUGUAACCCAUAUGCAAUACGUCACUAAGUCAGGUAAUCGUGUGUAAUGCGCUCACUGUAACUCUCUAUAUAGCAUGCUUUGAUUAUAGGCGAUGAGUCAUGGUCAUGACCAUAGCAUGUGAAAUGGUCAGUAUGUACCUUUUCAUCAAGUAAUACUUAAGUUCUCGUUGAAUACAAGUUUUCCUAUUGCUUGUUCAAGUGCAAGCGAAACAAUAGGUUUACCUACAUGAUCCAGGAUCGAACACUGAGAAUUUAUUUUAGUCAUUACUUCUAGGGAAUUACUCAUUAAUUGGGCAGUAAAAGAAUUAUCUACUAACGUAUAAAAGAAUCAGAAGUAGAAUUAAAACUACUUAUAUACGCCUAAAGAAUCUGUAAAGGGGGCUAGCUAGAUGCGAAAUGGAAUUGUAUGCAAACUAACUUGUAUGUGAGAAAGAGUGAAGAAAGGUCAAUGCACUAUUAGGCGGUUAAGCAAUGCAAGAGCUUUGAUGCGAUUUAACUUACUCAACCAACUUAUGAUUAAGGCGUACUCCUAUCAAAGUAUUAAACGUCAUACAUAGUCUCCUUUCAGGAUCUACAUGACUAAGUCUGAGUAGGUGAAAUAUAUCUAGGAGCAUUCACUUAUAACACUUAUAAAACUCUGUGAUUAAGAACAACAACCUCUCAAACGCUUAAUGUCCACACUUGUUUGCCUUUCGGUAUACAAAUGUUGGAAGUUAUCUCGCUCAGGUGGAUUUAUUGCCAAAUUCGUCCUUGUGCGCAUUAUCCUUAUCCUUGCUACUUGCCCUCUUGGAUAGUAGGCGAUUGACACUAGCCAAGCGAUGAAUAUAUAUAGCUUAACUAAUGCAAUAAGCAUUAUAAGCUAAACUUCUUAUCAAGAGCUUAUCACAAACCUAAUAUUGCUAAUAACACAUUGACAAGUGAGAAGUUAAGAAGUGAUGGAUUGAAAAGGGUCUGUUGCAUUGCACAUCAUCUCCAACUACCACCCUUGUCUUCUAGUGACCCUUCCUCGCAUGAUAACUUUGUUCCUCAUUUAGGGAUGAUAAUCGCUAGAUGAGUUUUUGGUUAUAGUCCUUGGGCGAAAUAUUUCCUGUGAUUCACUAGUUUCUUUCUUUGUUCAUUAUCCAACAUUUAGACACUAAAAUCGAGUGAAACAAACAUAACACUUAUGCAAAAUAUAUUUCCAAGUACUUAUUCGUUUGCAACACAAGUUACACAUUCUGAUAAUCUUCUUGUGCGUUUUGACUUCAUUAUUCUAAUAAAAUGAGCUAUAAUAACGGAUGUUUAUAUACGCUGUCACGCCCCCAAAUUUAGAAUAAUGCUUGUCCUCGAUCAUUGCUCCCUAUUAUGCUUGUCCUCGAGUAUUGCUCCCUAUUAUGCUUGUCCUCAAGCACAAUUCCUCCUUAAAGACUCGCCUUCCUCUUUUGCAUUUCAACACUUCUCAAAACGCAAGCAAGUUUUCUUCGUUAUUCAUGAUUUACUCUCAUCAUGUACUUCUUGCUACGAAAAUAUUUCUAAGUUCAGAAUGUGACAAGAUUAGUACUCAAAAUAUCCUUGUUCAUUUCCCACAAUAAAUCUUAUUUUCAAUUUCAGAAGUGAUCAAAAUUUUCAAAAAGUAUCAAACUUUAACAUUAUAAAUUAUGCUUGGAAACAUAAGUUUUCAUAGAAAUCUCUUUGAAAUAUUAUCACUUGAAUUCUUCUUUCAAAUUAGUAAAGAGAAAUCAUAAUAAAGUUUUUAACAUAAAUUCAUUUGAGAGAAAAGCACUCACAAAACGUUACAAAAGAAGUCCUUCUUCUUCUUCUCGCAAGCCUCUUCUCGUGUAGCUAAAUGAGCAACACUUCAACAUUUCAACAAAACUUCCAUCAUCCCCUCCUUAGUUACCCAAAUCCUCUUAUUAAUUGAGUCCUUAAACUAACUUAGUCAUGCAUAAACUCUUCUCAAUUCGCCAGCUCCUGCUUAAAACUUUACAUAUGUAAAUUUAAUAUUCAACCUAGUCAUGUUUAAGUCCUUAAUCUUACACGUUAACCUUUUUCAAAUCAGAUUUGACAUUUUCUUCGCCAGACCUUGCUUCUCGCCUAACCCAAACUGCGAAUAACUUCAACCACUUAACAUUUCUCGCAAAUAACCUUAUCGUGUGGUUAUAUUUUUACUAUAAGAAACCUUGCACAUGAACUAGCCAACAUUUACUCGCAUAGAACUCUUAUUGUGAACUUAAGCUCCAAGUCUUCCUCGCAUACUUCUUCUCCAUGAAACACUUGGUUCUUCUCUCGAAGACCACCCAAAACGUCUAGUCUAACAUUGUCAAAAUUUUUACUUAACUUAUGCGCAGACUUUUUCUCUUCUUAUCGCACAACUUCUUUCGUGAACUACCCAUUAAUGGCAAAAACGUAUAUUUAACCAUAAAAGAUUUUAUCGCUUAAUCCUUUUCACAGAUUUAUUCAAACGCCAACUUCUUAAUACUUUAACUGAAUUUUACUUCUUUACACGAAUGAGAAAUGAGUCUCACAAGAUCACUACUUAAAAAGUGAGAAAACAUUUGAAUGAAUGAGUUGAAAAAACUAGUGAGUGACGGUUCUAUAAAACAUGCUUUUCUAAAUAGUUAUGCACAAAUCUUUAGCUUUCAGAAGCAUUCAAAUAAAUGAAUAACAUUUUAUAAACAUGUAUCUUGAAACUUUCAGACAUUUGAAAUACAUAUUAUAAACUUUACUUGAUCAUUAAUCUAUAGUAUGUCCCUAACAUUAAACAUGAGUGUUGGUACACCUUACCAUUAAUGAAUGAAUUCUCUUAACGUAGGCACAAUUCUAACUGCAACCUUCUCUACACAGGCAUAAGGAAUUAUCCUUCAUUGAUGUACAAGGAACAUAGGCUCGUCAACCUUUACAUUAGUAACGAAAAACAACUAUGUGCACAUAAACUGAUGAUAAAGAGUAACAUAGAACAUAUGGGUAUAGAUUCUAAAAACGUAUUUGAAAUCUUGAACACAUGCUUGCUUUAAAUCUCCGUUAGAUUUCAUAUUUAUAAUACACACUUGGAAAUAGUUUACAAAUCAUGCUUUGUAAAUCAUUUACUAAAUUAGUAGCGAAAAUAUCAUUUAGCAUAUCAAAGCAUGUAAGAAAACUAUUGCCUUUACAUUCAUGUUCCUAAAUAGAUAUAAAUAUAUAUAUUUCAUUCAAAAACUUAAACUUGUGGCUCAACCCCUUAGCCAUGAAAUCUUUUUAAUUCUUCUUGUCCUGAAACAAUAAUAUUUAAGCCUUAAUUAACCUUUUUACCUUAUAAAAUAUUCAAACUUUACUAAAAUCGGCAAAAUUAAACAUAAAAGAAAGCUAAAAAAUGGAAUUUAGCAUGCCUGGCACAGGGCAUAACGGUCAUGGAUGGCAGGGUGGCUAGCGUGCGCAUAACGGUUUGUGUAGUCUGGUCGUAUGCUAGAAUAACACAUGGCUUACGUGUUAUGUACAUCCUCGAAGAAAGGCUUGCUACAUGGCCUUGGCGUGCGCUGACCCUAUUACUCGCAUGCUUCAAAGCCCGUGCUAACAUCUUUCACCUAACUUCCUCAUCUCGCCUUCCGUGUCACUCGGUCAACCUUCAACUUGGCCUAUAAUUGUUUUUUCAUCAAGAAUGUAACCCAACUUUUGAGGUCUAUAACUUAAAAUUCGUAACUCAAACGAGAAACCUUCCUCCUAUAAAGUUGUUUAGAAUUUUCUUAAACAUCUUACCUCCAAAUUGCAGCUACAUAUUCCAAGUAAUGUGUUUUGUAGCCAUCAAGAAUGUAACAUUGCUCAAUCUUGUGCAAACAAUGACCUUUGGUAAUUUAGGUCAGAAGUUGGACUUUCUCCUAAACUCUUUUUAGUUCGAAAAUCCUACCUUAAUAAAUAGACUCACUCACAAUUCUUUCGGGACUAAUAUGAGUAAAUUUUCACAAGUAGAAUGGAAGUUCUGAUCGUCCAAAGUUACCUAUUUAAUAUGAACCUUGCAUGCCUAACUUUUAACACCUCUUACUUGAAUGGUUUGCUUCCCACACCUCCCGCUUGCCGAAACAUAGGUGUUUGCAUGCUAUGACACUUGGAUUCCACUUCCACCUCUUGCCCAAAAUGCAUAAAGCUUCCUUUUCUCGUAUGGCUACUCACAUGCACACACUCAUGCCUUGUUGCACACCUUUUCGUGUGGCUGUUGCUCGCGUGCCUUGCCUUGGUUGCAUGAUGAAGCUCACCUAGCACACCUUGUAUGGCUACUCACAUGCACACACUGAUGCAUGGCAGGAUCGAUUGUUGAUAGGAAGUCUACCUUCGGUUAUUGUAACUUUGUUUAAGGCAAUCUUGUAACUUGGAGAAGCAAGAAGCGAAGUGUUGUGGCAAGAAGUAGCGAUGAGGCCGGAUCUCGAGACAUGGGUUUUGGAAUAUGUGAGGAAAUUUGGCUCCAGAAAGUCCUGUCUGAUCUUCAUCAAGAAUGUGAGACUCCUUUGAAGCUCUUCUGUAAUAAUAAAGUCGUUGUUUGUAUUGCUAACAACCCAAUUCAGCAUGAUAGAACUAAGCAUGUUGAGAUCGUUUGACAUUUCAUCAAAGAAAAACAUGACAGUGGGAGCAUAUGCAUUCCAUACAUCCCUUUGAGCCAACAAGUUGCUGAUGUUCUCACCAAGGGGACUUCUCAGACCAAACUUUAAUUUUUAUGUUAGCAAGUUGGACCUCAUUGAUAUUUCCGUCCCAACUUGAGAGGAAUGUUAGUUUAUGGAAAAUUUAGUUAUAGAAAGUUGACCAAAAAUAUAUUCUCUUUCUUUUACGGUUGUGUAACCUAUUUAAUGUCCUUCAUUGUACCAUUGUAAUUCAUUAGAAAAUAAUAAGAACAAUAUAUCGUAGUUUUUAUCGCGAUACUCAGGUUUCCACGUAAGUUGGUUUGUGUCUUUAUCUCUACUUUCAGUAAUAUUUUGAAUAAAAAGUUGAGGAUAUUAUCUGGUCUUAUAUUUUCAGCAUUUUGUCAUUUUCUUACUACAAGGAUUCAUCAGAAUAUGAUGCCGAAGAUCAAUAUGAUGAUGAGUUCUGUUGGAAUAAAUGGUUAUGAUUCUUCAUGAAUUGAUGUAUCAUGAGUUGAUGUAUCAUUUCAUGAAAAGUUGGAAUAAAUGUUUAUGAUUCUUCAUGAAUGGAUGCAUCAUGAGUGGAUGCAUCAUUUCAUGAAAAGUGUCAUUAACUAAAGGACAUGACUUUUUGAAUGGCCACAAAAAGUCUAUAAAUAAGUCAUUUUGGUUGAGAGAAAAGUACAUAGAAAAAGUCAUUUGUCUUCAAUAAACAAAUUUCUCUUCAUAUCCACAAUCUUGAUGUUCGGUAGAUUCACAAGGUUUCGUUCGUAGAUCUUCUAUACGGGGUGCUACACUUAGAAGAAAGUUGAUAUGUUCUAUCCUCGGAGGCAAUUACUCUAAAUUCUCAAGCACUAGGGUGAGUAAAUUUGUCUUAAGGAGACAAUGUGAAUUCGUUGAGCUCAGAUCUAUAUUUGUGUAUGAUUUUUUUGUUCACUGUGAUAAUAAUAUACCUAGCAAUUGAUAAUCUGUAUAACAAGUUCAUCGACGAUAAUGAUGACUAUUCUGGCAUGUACUCAACUUCACCUAUUCCUAAAAGUGGAGGUAAUUUGAAAAUUCUGCGAACUUACUAUUAUACCAAUCACUUGGCAUUUUUUCCAUGUUGUUUCAUUUGUUUCUUGAUAUUUUUCAAGAUAUUAUAGGCUAGCUGAAGCUAUACUUCUAUUCAAUACCAUGGGGCCAUAAGAGAAUUAUAAAAAAUUGAGCCUAAUCUUUGUUACUAUUCCUAAACCUAUUUAUCUUGUGAACUUUAAAGGAUUAGUACUGGAUAGUGAAUACCAUUUAAUCCACGACAAUUCUGCUCAUACAAUUUGGGGAAGCUUGUGUAUUUGUUUUGAUAGUAUGGGGCCAUGUGCCAUGCUGAAGUUAGGAUUUCUUGAUGUUCCAUAGUUCUAGCUGUCAUGGGAACUUUGGAUUGAAAGGGAAUAGGCGAACCAUUCGCAGUUUGAUCAUUUUUGCUGACAUGGUGUCUCUUUCUGUGUUCUGAAGUUCUCUUCUAACUUUUUUUUUUUUACUUUCUGACUUCUGCUCUAUCAAGUUUUGGUAAGUAUGUUUACAACUACGCAUAAAAUUGAAAAUUUACUUUGUAGGAAGAGAUUUAUUUGAGCAUAUAUGUUGGAUCAUUGGAUGCAAAGUGUAUAUGAUUUAUGAAGAAUUAGAUUUCAAAUCUUAAAUGUCAUCAAACGUGUGGACAUAUAUUAUUUGUACAACUUUCUUGUCAUUGUUGCUAUAUCAGUUGGUUGCGGCCAUGCUUAACUGACUUUAAUUUAUUCGCAUAUCCUAAGUUUAUUUUUUAAAUUUUUUGGCGUUUUGACCUUGAUUGAUUUUAACUAUAAUUUCAAGUGUUUGAUUCCCUUCCCAUGAUUUCUAGUUUUAAUUGAGGAGUGAAAAGAAACAAGUGAAGGAUGAGAGUGCAGCGGUUAAUCCAAUUUCUGAUGGAGAUGAGAAAGAUAAUUACACAAGAGGGAAUUCACUCAUUCCCUACUUUAGGGUAAGUAGAUGAGUGUUCCCUUAAAUGGUGUCACCAGUUCUUGAACAAAGGACCCUACCCUCUCCAUGGCACGACAGAGGUUUCUGUUUAUUGGUAGGACCAUAAAAAAGUUGUUCAUUGGAGGAGCAUUGGUAUUUAAGGAUUAGAGAUAACCCAGGGGUAAAACGGUAAAUGGACCCAACUGGUGUUACAAACACUCGUGAAGGACUAACUUACUGUUAUUGGUCUAUAUUUGUGGACACAGAAAUAUAUCUACAGUGAGAAGAGUUCAACUGUGAGUCUUUAGUGGAGUGUACACACAGUUAACGAAUAUUGAUUAAUGUCGUUAAUGAGUUUAGCAAAUUAAUCUCAGAUCGUUGUAACUUCUGAUCUGUAGGUCCAUUAGGUCCACUUCCUAGCUCGUACAUGGUAAUGAGAUUUAUUUAUAUUGGUUGUAAUUUGAAAUGUUCAAAUAUACUUAGGGAAUUAGUUUAAUGUAUAGUGAUACUUAUAAUAUAAAAUUUGUAAAACUUUAUUAUAAAUUUAAUUUUGGAUAUGAUUCAAAAUUAAUUUAUGGGAGAUAAAAUAUUUGAAUGAGUUCAAAUAUUAAUGUGAAUUGGAUUCAUAUUAAAAUUAUUGUUACGAGAGAAACUUAUAUUUGAAUAUGAUUCAAAUUUAAUUAAAGUUAAAUAUCUUAUAUUUAACUUAGCUAUUAAUUAAUUGGAGAAUUAAUUAAUAAUUUAGUUUUAUUUAAUUAAAUUUGAUUUAAUUAAAUUUAUAAAAUGAUAUUGCAAAGAUAUUAUAUUUAAUUAUAUUAAUAACAUAUUGGAGAGAUAUUUAUUCAAAUAAGAUUUGAAUGAAAUAUUAAUUAUUAACUAAUUGAUUAAUUGUUAACUAAUUAAUAGAUUUGAUAUUAAGAAUCUCAUAAUUCUCUCCUACUCCUUUUCCUAUUCCAAGAAAGAAAGAGAGCUAUAAAUAUCUAAAAGAAAACAGUGUUCUUAAAGCAAAAUUUAUUAAGAAAAAAGCAAAGGUUUUUUCUCUCUACAAAAUGAGUUUCUCUCAAAUAUCUCUAAGUCUUUUUCCAUCCCAAUUGGUUUCCACAAACCAAUCUCAUCCCAGAGGAUAGGAAGAUCUCCGACGGAUGGUGUCCUAAUUUGGAGAUUGAUUUGUAAAUUAAGAGAUGUCAUCGAAAGUAAGUUCUCGCAUCUUAUCUUUAAAAGCAUACUUAGAAUCUAUUUAGAAUUUUGAUUCUAAAAUUUUGCCAAUGUAUCGGUAUUUUAAGAUUCUCAAAUUAAUUUGAGAAACCGUUCUUUAAAUUAUUCCGCUGCCAUAAGGCUUUUAUUACUCUUUGUUCAUUCAUUUCCUUUAAUUAACAAAUUAAUAAGAUCAAAAUUAUGAAUGUGUUCACUUGUUUUUCAUUUUAUCUUUUUAGUUUCCAAAAUGUUUGUUCUAUGAUGUAUGUACAAAAUAAUAAAUAAUCACAAAAUGAAUGCUUAAAUUUAAUUAGAAUAAACUCACAAUACAUACUUUUAUUGAAAAACAUACUAAAGUGUUUAAACUGGCCUUAUUGCUACUAUGCAAAAGGUCAUAUUAUUUAUUUUUUUAUGUUUUGUUACAUUAUAUAUUCAAUAUUUACCUUCAUAGCUAAAAUAUAACACAUUUAAACUUAAAAGUUUUUUGCAAUAGAGCAAAAAGUCUUAUUAUUUAGGGUUUUAUUCUAUUACUUUAUAUUCAUUCUUGAACAUGUCAUUUCAAACUCAUUUUUAUGCUUGAAUGACAAGGGCUCUUAUGUGCAAGCCUCUUUUCCAAACCGCUGCAUGGUUGAAGAAGCGAAAUCGGAUUGUUCCACUAGUCACACAAUCAGGUAGUGUGAAUCCACCUAGUGGCAUAUUGAACCACACAUUUGGUUGUCUGCCUGCCAAUCCUAUUUGAGACUCUUGCCUACUCCCAUCUGGCAACUCGAUUUCAAGGUUUACUGGAAAAUUCCAUCCAGAGGCGUUGCUUGUUAACAUUACUUCAAUGUUUGCAUUGUACCGAAUACCUUGUCUGAAAUCAGAUGCAUCCAUCAUUCCAACGACAAUCUAGCCAAGAUACUUGAAUAAGUCGGGCUUCUUCAGUUGGGUAGCUGCAAGGUUUUAAAUACCAUGGUGAGAGAGAACAGUAAUAAAUAACAUAUGAUUGGAACAUAAUAUAUAUUCAUAAAAGUAGAAUCUAAUAACUAGCUUAUAUUUUUAUGAACGAAAACAAAAGAAAUAGAUGAAAAUGCAUGAGAUAUGAAUAAAUGAACAAAUAAAAUUUGAGUUAAAGAUUGUACCCGCAUAAAUUCACGUUGGCCCAACUCCAGUAUCGAGUGUCAUUACCCCAUGUUAUUGUGGCAGCUCUUGGAAAUGCCAAAAAAUGUGUGCUUUGGCCUGCCAUUAAAAUGGUAUUUGAGAGGUAUAGAAAUAAGGAUGAGAAUGAGAAAAUGUUAUAUAAAGGUCCUUGAUUGGUUACAAGUAUGGAGGAUAUCUUUGUUCUUUUAUAUCCAUCUAUUAGGGCAUUUUAGACCGUUCCAAAUGCAACCACUUUUUCGUAUCCCUUAUCCUUUCUCUUUUUUGUUUAUUCCAUUUUUCAACAUUUUCUUUUUUAUAUAUUCUUUUUCAUUUAAUUACUUUAAAUUGUUUUUUUUUGUAAUAUAAAUUAGUUCACUUUUGUAUUUUCUUCCUCAUAAUUGAUUAUUCAACUCAAAUGGCUCUUCCCUUCCCUAUAAUUAGUUAAAUUACACAUAUAUGGAUAUGAUAUUAUUUGUUAAAAUACCCUUUUUAUACAACUAUUAAUUCUUAAGUAAUGUAAUUAUGUAAAAUUUAUGCAUUUAGAUGUACAAUAUAGCAUCGUUUAAUUUCUAUAUGGCUCCAAUAAAUAUUAUUUUCGAAAAGUCAAUAACUCGUUCUUUCCAUGGGUCUCACUCCCUCUCUCUUUAUAUUAUUUAAUUUUCAAAAUCAAACAAUGAAAGCAUUAAACAUUCAUGAAAAUGUAUUCUCCUUUAAUUUAUUGAGAAUAUAUUUGGAGUAUAGAUUAGAGAUAAAACGUGUGGAAAUUAGAAAGAAGUUACUAUUGAGUAUGAAUCAUCCAUAUUCGUAGAUUAUCAAAGACUUUAUCGAUUUGAAGUUUAUAUUCUUUUUGAAACUCGUGUCCUGGAGAUAAGGUUGCUGAGAUGAAAUUUGAAUUUUUUUAUUAUCAAUACAAAGGUCUUUCUAAUAUAUGUUGGUAAUGUUUAAUCAUGAAUUUUAAUUGUUUUUUACAGCAAUUUUUUUUUAAUAUAAGUAAAUAUGUGAAACAAGUUUUUGAUGACAUGUUUUGACCAUGAAGAAAAUUAGUUUUCUUGAGGUUCGACUUUCUUGAUGUAUGCCUACUUGAUGGAUAAAAACCAUCAAGGUAGACAUAUUUUUAAGUGCUUUGUACAUCAAAAAAUGUCAAAUUUGUAGUAGUGAUCACAUAAACUCCAAUUACAAUAAUUAUUGUCUUCUAGUGAACCUUCCUCGUGUGUUGAUGUGGAUCUCACCUACAAAUUGUACAUGCUAGACAAGGUUUUCUCGAGUAUCCUUUAUGUGAGUUCCUCUGUAAUUCACUAGCUUCUUCUUUUGUUCCUAAUUGUAAGACCCAACUUUUUUACUAAGCUGAAGUCAUUACUAUUUAAAUAAAUAUAGACUUUUUAGUUUUAAAUAAAAGAAAAUACUAAAUUUAAAGAACACGUUCCAAAUAUUAUUUAAAAAAUAAAUAAAUGAAAUAUGAGAUAAAAGACUAGUUAAAGCUCUAUUUAAUGUAAAAAGAAAUAUCUAAAAGUAAACAUGAGUUCUGAAAUAAUUUUCUGAAAAUUAAAUACUGAAGACAUAAAUGCAGUAGAAAACGUAAAUUGUCCCCUAUGGCGAAUCACAGUCACUUCUUGUCAUUCGCCUGUGCCUUUACCUCUUCUAACUUUGUUUGAAAAAUUAAACAUAGAAAAGAGUAAGUAUAAAUUUAUACUCAGUAAGAGACCCACAAUUAGUUCCGCUACGUGUCUGUUAACUUUUCCUGUAAGAAAGUAUCACAUACUAUUGUGAUCCCAAACACACGCUAUCGGGUGGUCCCUAGGGACAUAUUUGAGCUCUUAGUGAACACGAAGGAAUCACCCUAAUGGAGAGUCAGGCGAUUAAUUAUUAUGCUUUAGAACACAUGCUAUCCAGUGAUCCCGUAAGGACACAUUUGGGCUCUCAGUGAACCCAAAGGAAUCACCCUAAAGGAGAGUUGGAUUGUAAGUGAUCCCGUCGAAUAUAUUUGGAGUAUAGGUUAGAGAUAAAAUCUGUGGAAAUUAGAAAGAAGUUACUAUUGAGUAUGAACCAUCCAUAUCCAUAGACUAUCAAAGACUUUACUGAUUUGAAGUUUAUUUUCUUUUUGAAACUCAUGUCAUAAAGAUAAGGGUGCUCGAUAGCCUAAAUUUUUCAUAUAAAUGUAUUGUUUGUUUGUUUCGUUAAUAAAUCAUUAUCUUCUUCUAUUAAAUUACAUCAUUAUUGGACAACAUGGAGGGAUCCCAAUUCUAGAUAAUUUGUAAUAAUAGGAUUUAUUUUUUUAAAAAAAAAAACAAAAGAGCACAUAGGAACUAAUUGACAAUUAAUACAUUUUAACUGUCAAUUAGUUCCUUCGGGUUCACUGAGAGCUCAUAUGUGUCCUUACGGGACCAACCGAUAGCGUGUGUUUGGGAUUACAAUAAUAUGUGGUACUUUCUUACAGGAAAAGUUAACAGACACGUAGCGGAACUAAUUGUGGGUCUCUUACUGAGUAUAAAUUUAUACUUACUCUUUUCUAUGUUUAAUUUUUCAAACAAAGUUAGAAGAGGUAAAGGCACAGGCGAAUGACAAGAAGUGACUGUGAUUCGCCAUAGGGGACAAUUUACGUUUUCUACUGCAUUUAUGUCUUCAGUAUUUAAUUUUCAGAAAAUUAUUUCAGAACUCAUGUUUACUUUUAGAUAUUUCUUUUUACAUUAAAUAGAGCUUUAACUAGUCUUUUAUCUCAUAUUUCAUUUAUUUAUUUUUUAAAUAAUAUUUGGAACGUGUUCUUUAAAUUUAGUAUUUUCUUUUAUUUAAAACUAAAAAGUCUAUAUUUAUUUAAAUAGUAAUGACUUCAGCUUAGUAAAAAAGUUGGGUCUUACAAUUAGGAACAAAAGAAGAAGCUAGUGAAUUACAGAGGAACUCACAUAAAGGAUACUCGAGAAAACCUUGUCUAGCAUGUACAAUUUGUAGGUGAGAUCCACAUCAACACACGAGGAAGGUUCACUAGAAGACAAUAAUUAUUGUAAUUGGAGUUUAUGUGAUCACUACUACAAAUUUGACAUUUUUUGAUGUACAAAGCACUUAAAAAUAUGUCUACCUUGAUGGUUUUUAUCCAUCAAGUAGGCAGACAUCAAGAAAGUCGAACCUCAAGAAAACUAAUUUUCUUCAUGGUCAAAACAUGUCAUCAAAAACUUGUUUCACAUAUUUACUUAUAUUAAAAAAAAAUUGCUGUAAAAAACAAUUAAAAUUCAUGAUUAAACAUUACCAACAUAUAUUAGAAAGACCUUUGUAUUGAUAAUAAAAAAAUUCAAAUUUCAUCUCAGCAACCUUAUCUCCAGGACACGAGUUUCAAAAAGAAUAUAAACUUCAAAUCGAUAAAGUCUUUGAUAAUCUACGAAUAUGGAUGAUUCAUACUCAAUAGUAACUUCUUUCUAAUUUCCACACGUUUUAUCUCUAAUCUAUACUCCAAAUAUAUUCUCAAUAAAUUAAAGGAGAAUACAUUUUCAUGAAUGUUUAAUGCUUUCAUUGUUUGAUUUUGAAAAUUAAAUAAUAUAAAGAGAGAGGGAGUGAGACCCAUGGAAAGAACGAGUUAUUGACUUUUCGAAAAUAAUAUUUAUUGGAGCCAUAUAGAAAUUAAACGAUGCUAUAUUGUACAUCUAAAUGCAUAAAUUUUACAUAAUUACAUUACUUAAGAAUUAAUAGUUGUAUAAAAAGGGUAUUUUAACAAAUAAUAUCAUAUCCAUAUAUGUGUAAUUUAACUAAUUAUAGGGAAGGGAAGAGCCAUUUGAGUUGAAUAAUCAAUUAUGAGGAAGAAAAUACAAAAGUGAACUAAUUUAUAUUACAAAAAAAAACAAUUUAAAGUAAUUAAAUGAAAAAGAAUAUAUAAAAAAGAAAAUGUUGAAAAAUGGAAUAAACAAAAAAGAGAAAGGAUAAGGGAUACGAAAAAGUGGUUGCAUUUGGAACGGUCUAAAAUGCCCUAAUAGAUGGAUAUAAAAGAACAAAGAUAUCCUCCAUACUUGUAACCAAUCAAGGACCUUUAUAUAACAUUUUCUCAUUCUCAUCCUUAUUUCUAUACCUCUCAAAUACCAUUUUAAUGGCAGGCCAAAGCACACAUUUUUUGGCAUUUCCAAGAGCUGCCACAAUAACAUGGGGUAAUGACACUCGAUACUGGAGUUGGGCCAACGUGAAUUUAUGCGGGUACAAUCUUUAACUCAAAUUUUAUUUGUUCAUUUAUUCAUAUCUCAUGCAUUUUCAUCUAUUUCUUUUGUUUUCGUUCAUAAAAAUAUAAGCUAGUUAUUAGAUUCUACUUUUAUGAAUAUAUAUUAUGUUCCAAUCAUAUGUUAUUUAUUACUGUUCUCUCUCACCAUGGUAUUUAAAACCUUGCAGCUACCCAACUGAAGAAGCCCGACUUAUUCAAGUAUCUUGGCUAGAUUGUCGUUGGAUGAUGGAUGCAUCUGAUUUCAGACAAGGUAUUCGGUACAAUGCAAACAUUGAAGUAAUGUUAACAAGCAACGCCUCUGGAUGGAAUUUUCCAGUAAACCUUGAAAUCGAGUUGCCAGAUGGGAGUAGGCAAGAGU